This 263-nucleotide unclassified non-coding RNA is filed under the name plant metagenome. RNAcentral's name for it is "partial contains small subunit ribosomal RNA, internal transcribed spacer 1, and 5.8S ribosomal RNA". The record is from RNAcentral.
UUUCCGUAGGUGAACCUGCGGAAGGAUCAUUAUUGUAUAACCGAGGUGCGAGGGCUGUCGCUGACCCGAAAGGUCGUGCACGCCCUAGUGCCCUCACACACAUCCAUCUCACCCCUAUGUGCACCACCGCGUGGGUCCCCCUUUGGCUUGUUCGGAGGGGGGCUUACGUUUUCACACAAACUUUGUAUGCAGUGUAGAAUGUAUUUUUUGUUUUUGCGAUCACGCAAUCAAUACAACUUUCAACAACGGAUCUCUUGGCUCUC